Molecule: ribosomal RNA, 200 nt
Filed under: uncultured bacterium
Lineage: Bacteria
Description: partial 16S ribosomal RNA
Rfam family: Bacterial small subunit ribosomal RNA
Source: RNAcentral
AUUGAACGCUGGCGGCAUGCUUUACACAUGCAAGUCGAACGGCAGCGCGGGUGCUUGCACCUGGUGGCGAGUGGCGAACGGGUGAGUAAUGCACCGGAACGUACCCAGUAAUGGGGAUAACACAUCGAAAGAUGUGCUAAUACCGCAUACGCCCUGAGGGGGAAAGCGGGGGAUCGUAAGACCUCGCGUUAUUGGAGCGG